Molecule: ribosomal RNA, 254 nt
Filed under: uncultured bacterium
Lineage: Bacteria
Description: partial 16S ribosomal RNA
Rfam family: Bacterial small subunit ribosomal RNA
Source: RNAcentral
UACGUAGGGGGCAAGCGUUGUCCGGAAUUAUUGGGCGUAAAGGGCGCGUAGGCGGCCUCUGCAAGUCGACUGUGAAAUCUCCGGGCUUAACCCGGAACGGUCAGCCGAUACUGCAGGGCUAGAGUGCAGAAGGGGCAACUGGAAUUCUCGGUGUAGCGGUGAAAUGCGUAGAUAUCAAGAGGAACACCAACGGCGAAGGCAGCUAGCUGGACGAGAUCCGACGCUCAGGCUCGAAAGUAUGGGGAGCAAAAAGG